UACGAAGGGGGCUAGCGUUGUUCGGAAUCACUGGGCGUAAAGGGCGCGUAGGCGGCUUUAUAAGUCGGGGGUGAAAGCCUGUGGCUCAACCACAGAAUUGCCUUCGAUACUGUAGAGCUUGAGACCGGAAGAGGUAAGUGGAACUGCGAGUAUAGAGGUGAAAUUCGUAGAUAUUCGCAAGAACACCAGUGGCAAAGGCGGCUUACUGGUCCGGUUCUGACGCUGAGGCGCGAAAGCGUGGGGAGCAAACAGG
This 253-nucleotide ribosomal RNA is filed under the name uncultured bacterium. RNAcentral describes it as "partial 16S ribosomal RNA". It matches the Rfam family "Bacterial small subunit ribosomal RNA", at positions 524 to 776 of the family's 1533-position model. The record is from RNAcentral.